Non-coding RNA from Flavobacterium sp. LM5, 78 nucleotides. The record is from Rfam. NCBI's taxonomy places the organism in Bacteria, Pseudomonadati, Bacteroidota, Flavobacteriia, Flavobacteriales, Flavobacteriaceae.
GCCUAGCCCCGAUUGUAGUGGAAAUCCUUAUGACCCGUGGUUCGGGGCAUAAGAUUAUAACGGAAAGCGGGACAACUC